This 176-nucleotide non-coding RNA is filed under the name Flammeovirga sp. The record is from RNAcentral. Lineage: Bacteria; Pseudomonadati; Bacteroidota; Cytophagia; Cytophagales; Flammeovirgaceae.
UUAUAACUUUUCUUCAUCCAUAUUUGCAUCAACAAAAGGGAAUUUGGUGAGAAUCCAAAACAGUCCCCGCUACUGUAACUUUUCCUAUUUAUUUAGGUUUUUGCAAUACCACUGGGCAACCGGGAAGGUUCGAAAUAAAAAGAAGUCAGGAUAUCUUUUGUUGUAGAAUUAUUCUU